AAAAAUCGUGCUUUUUAGUUUUAGGGCCUUUUGCUAGUGCUAUUUCCAUACUUAACUUUUCGGUCACCGACUUCUCCAAUUUUUGUUCAAUAGACUAGAGAGAUACUAGAAGCCCCCUUGGCCCAAUGGUUGACCCAGGGUUCAUUAAUGCUUCUACACCAAGAGGUAUAGGGUUCGAGUCCCAGCUAAUUCAAUUUAUUAGCAGAUUUGUAGAUUAAUGGAGGCAAGUGUGCAGAAGAUCUACAAUGAUGUACAAUUAUGGCCGUUCGCCAGGAUUCUACGCAGAGAAGAUAUUGAAAGUUUCCAUCAAGCGCGUAGAAAAUAAGAAGGAAGUGUCGUCUGUCGUGGAUCUAAUAAGGGUUGAAAGGAAUUGUCCGUGAUAAAAUCGUUUAUAUAACAGUUCUCAUAAUUUGUAAUAAAUAAUAAAUCUAAGAUGGUAAAAAGAAAAAGACUAGAGAGAUAAAGGAGAAUGGAAAACAACAGAAAU
This 487-nucleotide small RNA is filed under the name Arabidopsis thaliana (thale cress). RNAcentral describes it as "ATSL083660". The record is from RNAcentral. Lineage: Eukaryota; Viridiplantae; Streptophyta; Magnoliopsida; Brassicales; Brassicaceae.